CCUACGGGUGGCUGCAGUGGGGAAUAUUGCACAAUGGGGGAAACCCUGAUGCAGCGACGCCGCGUGAGUGAAGAAGUAUUCCGGUAUGUAAAGCUCUAUCAGCAGGGAAGAAAUAAAGUCCUUUGGACUUUGGACGGUACCUGACGAAGAAGCCCCGGCUAACUACGGGCCAGCAGCCGCGGUAAUACGUAGGGGGCAAGCGUUAUCCGGAUUUAUUGGGGGGAAAGGGAGCGUAGGCGGCAGCGCAAGUCUGGAGUGAAAUCCCAUGGCUUAACCAUGGACCUGCUUUGGAAACUGUGCAGCUAGAGUGCAGGAGAGGUAAGCGGAAUUCCUAGUGUAGCGGUGAAAUGCGUAGAUAUUGGGAAGAACACCAGUGGCGAAGGCAGCAUACUGGAGUGUAACUGACGUUGAGGCACGAAAGCGUGGGGAGCGAACAGGAUUAGAUACCCGUGUAGUC
Molecule: ribosomal RNA, 457 nt
Filed under: uncultured bacterium
Lineage: Bacteria
Description: partial 16S ribosomal RNA
Rfam family: Bacterial small subunit ribosomal RNA
Source: RNAcentral